GUGUUUUGCCUACUUUCUUUCAUUUACUCUUUACAGUGACCCAAAGCUGGCACUAUUUUUGUCCCACUUUUGUAAAUGAGGAAGCUAAAGCCCAGAGAGAGUGGUUAACCUGUCCAAGCUAGUGAAUCUCCAUUCAAAUCUAGAUUUGUCUGACUUCACAGCACCGGCUGUCAUCUGAUGCCACAGAAGACAUACUCUUGAAAGGAAAAAAGAAAACCCAUUGCAAAAUAUAGAUCAGGCGAUCCUAAGUUGGACUUCCUAAAAGCAGAACCCUGGAUGAGAAUUCGGGGCAAUCCAUUUAUUAUAGAAGUGCUCCAGAAGAAACUAGCAAGGGAAGGAGAAAACCCAACCAAAGCUAUGAUCUUGGCCAGGUCUCAGCUGCAGCCUGACACCCUUCAUGAGCCUCCAGAGCCUGCGGUCCACCCUGAUUUCACCCCAACCAACUGCAGACAAGGAUGCUGGCUUUCAUACUCAUACACCCUUCAAACCCUGGAUCGGGGCUGCCUGGUGGGAAGGUGGGGAACAUAGCCUCCCCCUUCCUCCUGUUCCCACUCAGAGUCAGCAAAGCAGCUCCAGGAACCUGAGAUAUCCCAUGCAGUGCACACCAAGACAUGUCCCACUGAGCGUGACUAGGGAGGAGCUCCCGCCACUCUUUUAAAUUUUAAGAAAACGGGAAAAAACUUGAAUUGAAAGUUCUGAGUGAAGACUGGAUUUCUCUCCACUUCGUUGUGAAGUUUGACACAGAGAAGAAUGUUUUCUGAUCUCUGAGUGAGUCCAGGAAACUUCUGCCAGGAGAGCAUAUCAAAGCAUGGAGCUCCUAAUGAGAUACCAGGCAAGUCGGGUCAAACCUAAGCCUCAUUUUUCUGAAACUUUGGCAACAUUCUAAAGUACUGUGAUUUCACAUUCCUCAAACUUCAAUAUAUAGAUUUUAGCUUCAAAGCCUAAAAAUGAUUCAGCCCAAAAAUAUCUAACCUGAAGAUAAAGAAGAAAUAUCUGAGUAUAGCUAAUAAAAUUAUUUCAGCUGAUUUGAGUUUUGAGAUUGCAAAUUUCCUAUAUAUGAAGAGUGACACUUUUUCAUUUCCACUUAUGUUUGAAAAUACCUCUAAAGACCUUACCACCAUGGGAUGUCAAAAUAGCAAAGGAGACUUCCUUCCCAUCUUCUUU
Molecule: long non-coding RNA, 1164 nt
Organism: Mustela erminea (ermine)
Lineage: Eukaryota; Metazoa; Chordata; Mammalia; Carnivora; Mustelidae
Exons: 3
Source: RefSeq, a predicted model, not a curated record